CUUGGUGAUUUGAGCGGCGUGGUCCCACCUAAUCCAUUCCGAACUUAGAAGUGAAACGCGCUAGCGCCGACGAUAGUCAUCCGGCAACGGAGAGCGAAAAUAGGUCAUCGCCAGGU
This 116-nucleotide ribosomal RNA is filed under the name Candidatus Microgenomates bacterium. Lineage: Bacteria; Candidatus Microgenomatota. The record is from RNAcentral.